RNAcentral lists this ribosomal RNA (253 nucleotides) under uncultured bacterium. RNAcentral describes it as "partial 16S ribosomal RNA". It matches the Rfam family "Bacterial small subunit ribosomal RNA", at positions 524 to 776 of the family's 1533-position model. The record is from RNAcentral.
UACAGAGGUCUCAAGCGUUGUUCGGAAUCACUGGGCGUAAAGGGUGCGUAGGCGGCGCUGUAAGUCAGGAGUGAAAGUUUGCGGCUCAACCGUAAAAUUGCUUUUGAUACUGCGGUGCUGGAAUUAGGAUGAGGUCAGCGGAAUGUGGCAUGUAGCGGUGAAAUGCAUAGAUAUGCCAUAGAACACCAAUUGCGAAGGCAGCUGGCUAGACCUGGAUUGACGCUGAGGCACGAAAGCGUGGGGAGCGAACAGG